Molecule: long non-coding RNA, 1514 nt
Organism: Daphnia pulex (common water flea)
Lineage: Eukaryota; Metazoa; Arthropoda; Branchiopoda; Diplostraca; Daphniidae
Exons: 5
Source: RefSeq, a predicted model, not a curated record
GAUGGCAGUUUGGAGUUUGCUCAAGGUUUCCAGUUAAAAUGUUUCUAUUUUCCUUAAAAACUACCGAAAUUACCAAUACAUUUAUAUGUACAUCGAUGUACAUAUUUAUUAAGUGCCAUCUGCUUGUUGGCACCUGUGUUCCAGCUUCUUUGUUUUUGCCGGUUUUGCAGACCAAAUGAAGUCUUAAUUUGAUAUACUAUAUAUUUUGUCUUUUCUGUUUCCCUAUCAAAUUAUAUUUAUGGAUCAUGGAAAUUCCAAGCUUUCACAACAAGUUCCUGAAGUUUUUACAUCAACCACAGCUUUUGCUACAGAACAUCGACUUUAUGGCCCUAAAUUUUGGAUGAAUACAACAGGUUCUCUCUUCGACUCUUGAGUAAUUGGUACUUCCAACACAGUUGAAGUGUUAAUCAAGUAGUGAUGUACUAUUGUUUCCAUUUUCAACUAAAAGCAUGCAGCAAACUUCCCAAAGCAAGCAGAGACCAUCCGAGCUGAAGGCAAGCUCACCUCUGCAUCCAACCCAAUCCAUCCAGCAGUAAAGAAGCCCUGUUUGCGACAGCCGUAGUCGUGGCCGGUAGGACUUCGACGCCGAAAUUCAACUGCCCUUGGAACUGAAAGACCAAACGAACGUACAGAGUCAGCUCUGGCAAUAGAUUUCCUGACUUCAGAAGUUGGUGAGGUGUUCAGAGAGAUCUGCAAGAUUGGCCAGGACUCGUGUUCAACUGUUCAUCACCAAAUUAUUUCAUGUAGUAAUUUACCUAUGUUUAGUGAACACAAAGAUUCCGAGUCUGAUUCCUUUGUCUAAGUUGAGACAUCACAAUUUUUCUAAAAGGUUUUCUUUUUUGUGUUAGGACGACAUGUUAGGAUUCAUUUUUGACAGAAAAAUUAAAAGAAGUUUUUUUUUGGGGGGAAGGAGGUACUUUGGAUUCUUUAACUUUAUUUCUGAGGGUGGGCGAGGUGACAAGAUUCAAAGUUAACUGUAAGUUCCGUGGCGUUGUAGGACAGCGUCAUUUUGAGGUGACAGAAUUUUCGAGUAUUGUACAUUUCUUAUGUUCAUGUUCCCAGAAAAUUGACUCUUUUAAAGGUUUCUGCCAUGUCAAGCGAUUUCGUAAUGAAUGGUCUCAUUAGAUAUUGUUUUUUAUUAGCUUGACUUUACUUCUCCCCGAGAUUAGUUGCUCCUGACUAGUAAUUGCUAUUUUCCGUAUCGACUUCUUCCUAAUAGUAAUUGCCACAAUCUCUCUCCUGACUGAAUAUCUUGGAUGCAGUUUUAUCACGGCCAUGUUUACAGUUUGACUGAUCGGCGAUUUCACGUAGACAUACAUAUAACACAAAUUUGGAUAAAUUUUGUUCUUUUAUUUGAAGACAUUUCUAAAAAAAUUUUCCGAACAUCAACCAGCUCUUUCUCUUGCUAAAUAAACAAUAUAUAUAUUCGUUUACGAUAUGUAGUGUGUUUAAAAGUAUUGAUUCUUAAAGUUGAAAUGUGAAAUUAAAAACAGAAAUAAAUAGUUGGAAUUGCA